GGGCCCGCACAAGCGGUGGAGCAUGUGGUUUAAUUCGAUGAUACGCGAGGAACCUUACCAGGGCUUAAAUGUAAGUUGCAUUAGUUAGAGAUAGCUAUUUCUUCGGACUACUUACAAGGUGCUGCAUGGUUGUCGUCAGCUCGUGCCGUGAGGUGUCAGGUUAAGUCCGGCAACGAGCGCAACCCACAUCCCUAGUUGCCAGCAGUUCGGCUGGGCACUCUAUGGAAACUGCCUGUGAUAAGCAGGAGGAAGGUGUGGAUGACGUCAAGUCCUCAUGGCCCUUACGGGUUGGGCUACACACGUGCUACAAUGGUAGUGACAAUGGGUUAAUCCCAAAAAGCUAUCUCAGUUCGGAUUGGGGUCUGCAACUCGACCCCAUGAAGUCGGAAUCGCUAG
RNAcentral lists this ribosomal RNA (396 nucleotides) under uncultured bacterium. RNAcentral's name for it is "bacterial SSU rRNA". It matches the Rfam family "Bacterial small subunit ribosomal RNA", at positions 917 to 1338 of the family's 1533-position model. The record is from RNAcentral.